RNAcentral lists this ribosomal RNA (763 nucleotides) under uncultured bacterium. RNAcentral describes it as "bacterial SSU rRNA". It matches the Rfam family "Bacterial small subunit ribosomal RNA", at positions 170 to 967 of the family's 1533-position model. The record is from RNAcentral.
CGGAUACGCCCUUUUGGGGAAAGAUUUAUUGCCGAAAGAUUGGCCCGCGUCUGAUUAGCUAGUUGGUGGGGUAACGGCUCACCAAGGCUACGACGGAUAACUGGUCUGAGAGGAUGAUCAGUCACACUGGAACUGAGACACGGUCCAGACUCCUACGGGAGGCAGCAGUGAGGAAUCUUGCACAAUGGGCGAAAGCCUGAUGCAGCGACGCCGCGUGAGGGACGAAGGCCUUCGGGUUGUAAACCUCUGUCAGUAGGGAAGAAGAAUGACGGUACCUACUGAGGAAGCUUCGGCUAACUACGUGCCAGCAGCCGCGGUAAUACGUAGGAAGCAAGCGUUGCCCGGAAUUACUGGGCGUAAAGAGCUCGUAGGCGGGGGCGUGCGUCCGGGAAGAAAUCUCAAGGCUCAACCUUGGGGCUAUCUCGGAUACGGCGCUUCUUGAGGGUGAGAGAGGAAAGUAGAAUUCCCGGUGUAGCGGUGAAAUGCGUAGAUAUCGGGAGGAAUACCAGCGGCGAAGGCGACUUUCUGGCUCAUUCCUGACGCUGAGGAGCGAAAGCGUGGGUAGCGAACGGGAUUAGAUACCCCGGUAGUCCACGCCGUAAACGAUGGAUACUAGUGUAGGAGGUAUCGACCCCUUCUGUGCCGGAGUUAACACAUUAAGUAUCCCGCCUGGGGAGUACGGUCGCAAGGCUGAAACUCAAGGAAUUGACGGGGGCCCGCACAAGUGGUGGAGCAUGUGGUUUAAUUCGACGCUACGCGAAGA